RNAcentral lists this ribosomal RNA (499 nucleotides) under uncultured soil bacterium. RNAcentral describes it as "bacterial SSU rRNA". It matches the Rfam family "Bacterial small subunit ribosomal RNA", at positions 26 to 513 of the family's 1533-position model. The record is from RNAcentral.
AGAGUGAACGCUGGCGGCAGGCCUAACACAUGCAAGUCGAACGGCAGCACAGGAGAGCUUGCUCUCUGGGUGGCGAGUGGCGGACGGGUGAGGAAUACGUCGGAAUCUGCCUAUUUGUGGGGGAUAACGUAGGGAAACUUACGCUAAUACCGCAUACGACCUACGGGUGAAAGCGGAGGACCUUCGGGCUUCGCGCAGAUAGAUGAGCCGACGUCGGAUUAGCUAGUUGCGGGUAAAGGCCACCAAGGCGACGAUCCGUAGCUGGUCUGAGAGGAUGAUCAGCCACACUGGAACUGAGACACGGUCCAGACUCCUACGGGAGGCAGCAGUGGGGAAUAUUGGACAAUGGGCGCAAGCCUGAUCCAGCCAUGCCGCGUGUGUGAAGAAGGCCUUCGGUGUAAAGCACUUUUUGUACGGAAGAAAAGCUACUGGUUAAUACCCUGGAGUCAUGACGGUAACCGUAAAGAAUAAGACUAACCGGACUAAACUUACGUCGACC